RNAcentral lists this non-coding RNA (26 nucleotides) under Mus musculus (house mouse). The record is from RNAcentral. Lineage: Eukaryota; Metazoa; Chordata; Mammalia; Rodentia; Muridae.
UGCUCUCUGGUGACAUGGAAGUGGGU